RNAcentral lists this long non-coding RNA (6347 nucleotides) under Manihot esculenta (cassava). RNAcentral describes it as "long non-coding RNA (MESC_LNC006202)". The record is from RNAcentral. Lineage: Eukaryota; Viridiplantae; Streptophyta; Magnoliopsida; Malpighiales; Euphorbiaceae.
GUCCUUGUGGAUCUAACCAUUUCAAGAAUGGAAAAAAAUCUGCUAAAUUUGGCUUCCCAGCCCACACUGAAACCAUUCCCAUAGCUUGAAAAAAUUCAUACCCUUCUUUACACUGUGAAUCCACAACGUCUCUCGAGAGCAUAAGGUUACCAACUAUGUUGAAUGACAUUAGGAAGAGAUAGUGAGGUAAAUUCACUACCCCUGACUCUCCCCUUGCAGUUGCAGCUGCUGUAUCAUCUUCAAUACUCCUGAACAUCAAAGCAAUGGUAGUAUCACUAUUUCAAUCUAACUUCAUACAAAAAUACUAUAUCUAUAAACAGGAUUCAAAAGUCAGUGGUUACCUAAUCAUCUGGAGGAUGCACUUCCGCCGAAUGGAAGCUGUAUCAUUGACUCGCUUGACGGUCAUCAUUUCCACCGAGCAAAGACGCCUAAUCAUACGCCAGUAGGGGCUAAACUGGCCAACAGCAAGUGACCCAUCUCUGUAGUUAAGACAGUUAAAUACUUCAAGAGACUUACGGUCACAGAAGCUGGUAUCGUGAUUCUUAAGCAGCUCAGCCGCAGUCUUAGCUGAUUGUAUCACAACUGUAUCCAUGGAUCCUAGUCUGAGCCAGAGAACAGGUCCAUACUUAAACUUAAGCUCCUCUAAAGCUUGGUGUGGUGCAAUUCCUAGAUCAAAAAUAUUGCCCAAGAUUGGCCAACCUGGAGGCCCUGGAGGCAAAUUCUUGGUUCCUUGUCCCAAAAUUUUCCCUCUCCGGCAUACAAUCACAGCCAAAGAUAAGAACAAACUUGCCCAAACAAGGAAACCGCAGAUGAACUCCAUUAUUUCUCUUGAGUUCAAAGACUGCCCGUUCUAGUCGUUGUUCUAUGCUUCUGUUUUAUAUUCUCACGUAGGAAUAUAAUAUUGCAAUUAGUCAUAUUUUUGCGGCCACUGUUCUUACACAUGCUUGUUUGGAGGGUUGAAUAAAAAUCAAAUUGGGUCUGUGGAAUUCAAUUACUGCUUUUUAGAGAAAUUAGUUUUAAAUUUUUAUUUUACUAUUUUUAUUAAAAAAUUUAGAAAUCUUUUGUAUUUUUAUAAACAUUUCUUAAAUAUAAUAUAUAAUCUAUAGAAUUUUUUUCAAAAUAAUUUACAAUAUUAUAUGUUAAAAAAAGAAGAGAAAUUUAUUUUUUUAGAAGCCCAAAUAGGAUACGCUCAAAAUACCAAAUCUAAUUAAACUGAAUUAUAUAUAAUUUGAUUGGAUUCAUUCAAUUAAAUAAAUAUUAUUACUUAAUUUAUUUUUUAAUUAUUUAUAUCGAAUUCAGUUUGAAAGAGUCUUAUUUAAUUUCAAUAUGAUCACUUAUUAAUUAUUAUUUUUCUAAAUAAAUAUUUAAAAUAUCUUUCAUAUUUAACAAAAUUAAAUAUUAAAUAUUUUUUAAAUGGAUAUAAUUAGAGGGGAGUAUUCGGUCGGUUCGGUUCAAAAUCAAAUCGAAUCGAAUAAAUUGAAAAUCAAAAUUUUUAGUAUUUAUGAAAACUGAAUCGAACUGAUUUUGAUCAGAAAUCAAAUCAAAUCGAACCAGUCUGAUUCGAUUCGAUUUGAUUCGGUUUGAUCAGUUUAAAUUUUUAAUAAAUUUUUUAUUUACACUUUAUUUUUAUUUUUAGUAUUUUAAAAUUUAAGUAAAAUAUUUUAAUUUUAAUAUAAUUUAAUCUCUUUAUAUUAUUUAAAAUAAUAUAUUAUUAUCACUAAUCGUUUCGAUUUUUUUAAUUUUGUUAUUAAAUUUGAAUCGAAUUAAAAUAACUAAAAUUUUUAAAAUUAAAUAUUAAAUCAAAUUGAAAUGAAUAAAAAAUCAAAUCAAAUUUUUAAAUUAAUUUGAUUCGUUGAAUUUUUUCGAUUUAAAUCUAAUACUGCUCACCCUUAAAUAUAAUUUAAAAAUUAAUAAAAUAUUAUUUUUUAACAUUAAAAAAAUAAAAUAAAUAAAAAUUAUCAGAUAAAAAAUACUAACUUUAUAUAAAAAUAUCAAUUUUUUAUAUAAUAUAAAAUUAUGCAAUAUCAAAUAUAUAUACAUAUAUGUGGUGGCGGCUUUAGGAUUAAAAAAAUUGGAUAAAAGGCAAAGAUAAUGGAGUCCAUGAGAGCAAAUUGAAUGAUUCUAAACGAUAAGUUUUAAGAUGUUGAUGUUCCUAUUACAUUGACAUAUUGGGGGACCAUCGUCAUAAUCAUGCUUCAUAGUUAGACUUUAAUUUAGAUAUAUUAUGGCUCACACAGUAUUGAACUCGAUAAUAAAUAUAUUUAAAUAAAUUUAAAAAAUUUAAAUUUUUAUUUUUUUAUUUUCAAUUUUCUUUAAAGAAAAAGAAAAUUUUAUUGUAAAAAAAAUAAUUAUUUUAUUUAUUUAUUUCUACAAAAUUAAUUAUUUCUUUUUCUUAUCUCAAAAAAAUACAUUGUUAAUAACUCAAAAAAAAAAUUUUCAAAUUUUCUUUUAUUAAAACUUAUUCUGGUUAACAAUCAUUUUGCAUUCUAUCCAAACACUCCCUUAUAAUGAAGGCCAAGUAAAAGCCAAACCCAUGAUUAAGAAAUCAAAACUCCAAAGACAAUAUCAUACUUCAAUCAAAUACAGACAAAAACACACAUAUAGGCAUCACAAAAGAAGGUGAUGCCUUUUGUUCUGUGCAUUAUUUUGUGGGGAAACUUUUGGCUGCAUCAGAGAGUAUUACACUAAAUUAAUGGGUGAGUCUCAAUUGGCUUAAGCAAUUGAGUCUUAUUAUUAUUAACUUCAUUUUGGGUGUCCUUUCGAAAGGCUAGCCUCACGAGCAGCUGUAAACUUGGCAAUGAGCUUGUCCCUAGGUGGCCAGCUUUCUUGGAUUGUUGGGAUAUUGGAGAAUUCCUGCAUCCAAGAAGUUAACACUGGGAAUUUUUGCUGGUUUAUUAGUUUUACUGUGCUAUUACUGUUGCUUAUUCUUCUUCUCCCAUGGCUGAUUUCAUACCACCAACUACUUAUCAGCUAGGCUAACCCACUCCCUUCUUUAAAACCAAUUCCCUGCACUCCGCUCCUUUAAUUUUUUUAAAAAAAUUACUUUUAAAUUCUUGAAUUUAAAAAAAAAAUAGUCCACAUCUAUUUCAAAAUCACUCACGUCCUUUAUUUUGUAAAAUCAAACCUUUUAAUAUUUUUUAAAAAAAAUCAUUAGUCAAUUUAUUAACUUUAAUUAAAAAGAUUAAAAGGUAUGAAUGUUUAAAAUUAUAAAAACUAAAUAAUAUAUGAUGAUCUGAAAUCCAAUACAAUAGGGUUUUACAAGGGCUUUUGUACUCAAGAAGAACUCUCUCCUCUCUCUAGAGGGGUAUCCCUUUUAUCCUUUUCUUCCUGCCUACUGAUGACGUAUAACGGCUCUCCCCUUAUUGGACCACGCGUCUCUGCCACACAGAUAUGGGCGUACGAGAAAAUCAGGCGCCUGCUCCAUGCGUAACAGCCUCUGAUUCUCCCCCGUGCGUACACUCGAACGGAUCUGCCAGGCUGUAUGACGAGUCUCGUUCUGGAUUCUGGGCCGGGCCGUAAGCUGGGCUGGACGCUGAACCUUGGAGAAGAAGGAAUCCGUGGGGAGGUUGUAUGGGCUGGGCCGAUCUCGAUGAGGGAGAAUCUGGUGGAGUCCGGCCUCAAGGAUCUGGUGGUCCGGGCCUGUUUUACUUGAGAAGGCGUGCGGGCCUUCCUUUCAUGGGCCAUGGCCAUAAUCUAGGCCCAGGAUUGGGGGUAGAGAAAUCCAGCGGUCAUCAAUAUAUAUAAUUAAAAUUAGAUUUAUUGGAUAAAAAAAUUUAAACAUUCACUAUUUUUUAUAUUUAUAUUCUAACCUUAAAAUCUUGUAUAAUAAAAUCAAUUCUUUCAUAUUUAUCUCAAUUUUAGCUAUUUAUGUUAAUCAAUUUUGAUAAAAGAAAUUUAUUACACUCUCAUGCCACAUAAAAUUAUUUCUUAAAAGACUUAUUGAAUAAAAAAAUUCAAAUAUUUAUGUUAAUUUAUAUUUAUAUUCAAAACUUUAAAAUUUAAAUAAUAAAAUUAAAAUUUUUUAAUUUAUCAUAAUUAUAAUAAAAAAAUAAAUUGAAUUUGAAAAUUUUAUGUUAAAUUAUAAUAUAUUUCUUAAAUUUUUAUUUAACUAAUAAAACAGUUCUUAAAAUAUAUAUUUUUAUUUUAAUAAUAAUUUUUUUUAUUAAAUCCAUUAUUUACUUUUCAUUUUCAUUUUUAUACAUGCAUAGUAGUUUAAUAAAAAUUUAAAAUGUUAAAAAAUUAUAAUAUAAAAUAUAUAAUAUUUUAUUUUUAUUUAAUAUUAUUAAUAUAAAGUACAAUUUUUUAUCGGAUCAGAUAAUAAAUUAAUAUACAUCACAAAUUUACUUAUUAUACAGAUAAGAAAAUAAAAAUAUUAAAUAUUUUAAAUAACUUAUAAUAAAUAUAAUUAAUAUAUCUAAAUUUUUAUGAAAAUCAUAAAAGGAAUAAUUUUACAUACUAAAAAAUGUAAUAUUUCAUUUGAAUUAAUAUUAUUAAUAUAAAAUUCAUAUAUUAAAAAUAUAUGCAUAAUUUAUAAUAGUGAAUAUAAAUCUUCAAUAAAUUAUUUUAAUAUAUAAUAUUUACAUGUGAUAUUUUACAUAGUGAAAAUUUAUUUAUAAUAAUUAUUUAUUUAGUAUUACAUAUGAUAAAUAUAAAAUAAAAAUAUACUUUUAAUAUAAAUUUUAAAUUAAAGAACUAUAUAUUUAUUAAUAUAAAAACUUUAAGAACAAUAACUUUUCAAAUUCAAUUUUAUACCUCAAUUAAAAUUAUGAUAAAAGUUUGAUUUUUUUUUCCAAUAACCCUUAGAAUUAUAAAUUAUAUAAUUACCCCAAGACUCUCUCUGGUUGAUAGAGAGAAAGAGAUAUAUAAUCCUAACUUGAAAAUUCUACAAUAAUAUAUAUGAUUUGAGUGACAAGAUAUUAAACUCAAAGCCAGUCGUAGUUAUUUUAAUCCAUACCAUACAUCACACAACCAUAUAGUAUCUAGCUAGAUGUUACAUUCUUUAGCCAGCCAUCACUCCCGAACAUCUCUUGGGUAUCACAUUCAAAGGUAUAAGUUUUCGAACAGAUAUCCCAACCUUUUCUCUCAUAUCUAAAGUCUCAUGGGUUGAAUCCUUAUCAAGUUCCCAAUUAAAACAGUGAAUUAAAGAUGCUAGACCAAGGAGAAUUACUCUUUGAGCAAAUAACAUACCUACACAAAUCCUCCUUCCUGAUCCAAAUGGAAUUAGCUCAAAAUUUUGCCCCUUGUAGUCAAUGUUUAAACCUAGAAACCUCUCAGGCUUGAAGCUCAAGGGAUCUUCCCAAGAAUCUGGAUCUCUUCCUAUUGCCCAUGCAUUCACUAAAACUUGAGUAUCUUUGGGUACAUCGUACCCAACGAACUUUGUGUCUUGUAUUGUGUUUCUUGGCAGGAGCAAAGGAAGUGGGGGAUGUAACCUAAGUGUUUCCUUCACAACAACUUGCAAAUAUGGUAGUUUGUCUAUGUCACUCUCUUCAACAUUUCUGUUUUCUCCAACAACUUCAAUGAGUUCUUCUUUCACCUUUCUCAUGGCUUCAGGUUGACGAAGUAACUCUGCCAUGGCCCAUUCUAUUACUGUACUCGUAGUCUCUGACCCAGCAAAAAACAUUUCCUUCAACGUCAGACAAAACCAAGAAUAAUUAGUUAAUUAGCCUUUAUUAUUGCGCUUUGCAAAUUAGCAAUUACAAGACAUUAUACAAACUCUUCAAGUAAUGCAAGUAUAUGCUUACCAAUACGAGUAUGAUGAGUCUUUCAUAUGGGAUCUUCUCAUGCCAAUCUUUGCCAUCACCUUCAAAUUCCAACAAAGUGUCUAAGAAGUCCUUACUAGCUUUCUCCUUAUCCCCAAAUUUGUAUUCCUCAAUCCUUUCUUUCACAAACCCUUCAACAAUCUCCAAAGCUCGUCCCAUAUCUCUCGUCAUGUUUCUCUUUAGUCCUUGUGGAUCUAACCAUUUCAAGAAUGGAAAAAAAUCUGCUAAAUUUGGCUUCCCAGCCCACACUGAAACCAUUCCCAUAGCUUGAAAAAAUUCAUACCCUUCUUUACACUGUGAAUCCACAACGUCUCUCGAGAGCAUAAGGUUACCAACUAUGUUGAAUGACAUUAGGAAGAGAUAGUGAGGUAAAUUCACUACCCCUGACUCUCCCCUUGCAGUUGCAGCUGCUGUAUCAUCUUCAAUACUCCUGAACAUCAAAGCAAUGGUAGUAUCACUAUUUCAAUCUAACUUCAUACAAAAAUACUAUAUCUAUAAACAGGAUUCAAAAGUCAGUGGUUACCUAAUCAUCUGGUGGAUGCACUUCCGCCGAGUGGAAGCUGUAUCAUUGACUCGCUUGACUGUCAU